UAUUAGGUUGGUGCAAAAGUGAUUUGUCAUUACUUUUAAUGGCAAAAACUGCAAUCACUUUUACACCAAGCUAAUA
MicroRNA precursor from Macaca nemestrina (pig-tailed macaque), 76 nucleotides. NCBI's taxonomy places the organism in Eukaryota, Metazoa, Chordata, Mammalia, Primates, Cercopithecidae. The record is from Ensembl.